GCUCGAAUGGCGGAAGCAGGUAGACGCGCGCGGUUCAGGACCGCGUGGCCGCAAGGUCGUGGGGGUUCGACUCCCUCUUCGAGCACGA
RNAcentral lists this transfer RNA (88 nucleotides) under Euzebya pacifica. RNAcentral describes it as "Euzebya sp. DY32-46 tRNA-Leu". It matches the Rfam family "tRNA". Rfam says of the family: Transfer RNA (tRNA) molecules are approximately 80 nucleotides in length. Lineage: Bacteria; Bacillati; Actinomycetota; Nitriliruptoria; Euzebyales; Euzebyaceae. The record is from RNAcentral.